UCCCUAGUAGCGGCGAGCGAAGCGGGAAGAGCUCAAAUUUAUAAUCUGGCACCUUCGGUGUCCGAGUUGUAAUCUCUAGAAGUGUUUUCCGCGUUGGACCGCACACAAGUCUGUUGGAAUACAGCGGCAUAGUGGUGAAACCCCCGUAUAUGGUGCGGACGCCCAGCGCUUUGUGAUACACUUUCAAUGAGUCGAGUUGUUUGGGAAUGCAGCUCAAAUUGGGUGGUAAAUUCCAUCUAAAGCUAAAUAUUGGCGAGAGACCGAUAGCGAACAAGUACCGUGAGGGAAAGAUGAAAAGCACUUUGGAAAGAGAGUUAACAGUACGUGAAAUUGUUGGAAGGGAAACGCUUGAAGUCAGACUUGCUUGCCGGAGCUUGCUUCGGUUUGCAGGCCAGCAUCAGUUUUCCGGGGUGGAUAAUGACGGUUUGAAGGUAGCAGUCUCGGCUGUGUUAUAGCUUUCCGUUGGAUACAUCCUGGGGGACUGAGGAACGCAGCGUGCUUUUUGCGAAAGACUCGUCUUUUUCACGCUUAGGAUGCUGGUGGAAUGGCUUUAAACGACCCGUCUUGAAACACGGACAAC
RNAcentral lists this ribosomal RNA (580 nucleotides) under Ustilentyloma graminis. RNAcentral describes it as "eukaryotic LSU rRNA". It matches the Rfam family "Eukaryotic large subunit ribosomal RNA", at positions 77 to 669 of the family's 3401-position model. Lineage: Eukaryota; Fungi; Basidiomycota; Microbotryomycetes; Microbotryales; Ustilentylomataceae. The record is from RNAcentral.